This 238-nucleotide ribosomal RNA is filed under the name uncultured bacterium. RNAcentral's name for it is "partial 16S ribosomal RNA". It matches the Rfam family "Bacterial small subunit ribosomal RNA", at positions 96 to 334 of the family's 1533-position model. The record is from RNAcentral.
CGGCGGACGGGUGAGUAACGCGUGGGUAACCUGCCUCAUACAGGGGGAUAACAGUUGGAAACGGCUGCUAAUACCGCAUAAGCGCACAGUACCGCAUGGUACCGUGUGAAAAACUCCGGUGGUAUGAGAUGGACCCGCGUCUGAUUAGCUAGUUGGUGAGGUAAUGGCCCACCAAGGCAACGAUCGGUAGCCGGACUGAGAGGUUGAACGGCCACAUUGGGACUGAGACACGGCCCAG